This 569-nucleotide ribosomal RNA is filed under the name Alternaria sp. FTJZZJ05. RNAcentral describes it as "eukaryotic LSU rRNA". The stretch from base 221 to 374 matches the Rfam family "5.8S ribosomal RNA". Lineage: Eukaryota; Fungi; Ascomycota; Dothideomycetes; Pleosporales; Pleosporaceae. The record is from RNAcentral.
GGAAGUAAAAAGUCGUAACAAGGUCUCCGUAGGUGAACCUGCGGAGGGAUCAUUACACAAAUAUGAAGGCGGGCUGGAACCUCUCGGGGUUACAGCCUUGCUGAAUUAUUCACCCUUGUCUUUUGCGUACUUCUUGUUUCCUUGGUGGGUUCGCCCACCACUAGGACAAACAUAAACCUUUUGUAAUUGCAAUCAGCGUCAGUAACAAAUUAAUAAUUACAACUUUCAACAACGGAUCUCUUGGUUCUGGCAUCGAUGAAGAACGCAGCGAAAUGCGAUAAGUAGUGUGAAUUGCAGAAUUCAGUGAAUCAUCGAAUCUUUGAACGCACAUUGCGCCCUUUGGUAUUCCAAAGGGCAUGCCUGUUCGAGCGUCAUUUGUACCCUCAAGCUUUGCUUGGUGUUGGGCGUCUUGUCUCUAGCUUUGCUGGAGACUCGCCUUAAAGUAAUUGGCAGCCGGCCUACUGGUUUCGGAGCGCAGCACAAGUCGCACUCUCUAUCAGCAAAGGUCUAGCAUCCAUUAAGCCUUUUUUUUCAACUUUGACCUCGGAUCAGGUAGGAAACCCCAAAAA